Molecule: long non-coding RNA, 426 nt
Organism: Osmia lignaria (orchard mason bee)
Lineage: Eukaryota; Metazoa; Arthropoda; Insecta; Hymenoptera; Megachilidae
Source: RefSeq, a predicted model, not a curated record
UCAAAAGCGAUCUCUCGUUCGCUUGUUAUCAACGCCGUUCAAACAAUCCUCGAGACACACACACAAUCAGCUUCGAAUCUUCUUCACGUAUUACUGACUAGUGUGCCAACUAACCAGCCAAAGAAUAUUGGAAAGGAUUUCUCUCGGACAACACGUAACGCACACAACAACAUCAGCAACUAACCUGCAGAAACACGUGACGGUAUCUUCGACGUCGAUGGAGAAAGAAGUAUCGAUGGCCGAGUAUUUGAGCACCUUUCUAUUAUUUCCCAGACCAAACAUCGAACCGAUCCACAAGAAUAUGCACCAACUGGCUUGCUAUUAAUAACAAACAAUAUGGAAGAACGGAAGAGAAGGGAAGACAGGAAGGAGAUAUAAAAUGGUGAAUAAAAGAAAAAAAAAAAAAAAAAAAAUAAGAAAAAAAAA